Molecule: long non-coding RNA, 432 nt
Filed under: Sorghum bicolor (sorghum)
Lineage: Eukaryota; Viridiplantae; Streptophyta; Magnoliopsida; Poales; Poaceae
Description: long non-coding RNA (SBIC_LNC018686)
Source: RNAcentral
UACAACUAUUGCUCCCUAUGACCGGAAAAAAUGUAAGUAAUCACCACACUAUAAAACAGCGGAUUAUUUUAGAGAGCUCUCCCUCUCUAAUAACCGUUUGAUCUAAACGUCAUGCUAUAUAAAUUCUCGAUCACCUAUGAUCUUAUAUGAUGUAAGAUAUAAGACUACUCCUAAACCAAGAUCCCUCCAGACUAAAAAAUAGAAAAUAGUAGAGUUACAAAUACUUUAUUUUUUGAUUUCUAGAUAAUCUUGCUUCCUUGGAACUGGUCCAUAUUUACGUAUCAGAGUUCAACCCCAACCCGCAUGUAUAGCUUUUUGAUUUUUUAGGUCCAAUUCGUUAGCACUACAACACGCCUUGCACGAUAAUAGUAAUAAUAAAUUAAUUGAUUGAAAAAGAAGGAAAAUAUGAAUGCACCGCCGCUUGUCGUAGAU